GAUGAACGCUAGCGGGAGGCUUAACACAUGCAAGUCGAGGGGCAGCACGAUGUAGCAAUACGUUGGUGGCGACCGGCGCACGGGUGAGUAACACGUAUGUAACCUACCCUGUACAGGGGGAUAACCCGGAGAAAUUCGGACUAAUAUCCCGUAAUAAUAUCCGGAGGCAUCUUUGGAUAUUAAAGUUCCGACGGUACGGGAUGGGCAUGCGUAACAUUAGCUGGUUGGUAAGGUAACGGCUUACCAAGGCUAUGAUGUUUAGGGGUCCUGAGAGGGUGGUCCCCCACACUGGUACUGAGACACGGACCAGACUCCUACGGGAGGCAGCAGUGAGGAAUAUUGGUCAAUGGGCGCAAGCCUGAACCAGCCAUCCCGCGUGCAGGAAGACGGCCCUAUGGGUUGUAAACUGCUUUUCCAGGGAGAGAAACUUACGCACGUGUUGCGUGACUGACGGUACCCUGGGAAUAAGCAUCGGCUAACUCCGUG
This 486-nucleotide ribosomal RNA is filed under the name uncultured bacterium. RNAcentral describes it as "bacterial SSU rRNA". It matches the Rfam family "Bacterial small subunit ribosomal RNA", at positions 28 to 507 of the family's 1533-position model. The record is from RNAcentral.